Molecule: small nucleolar RNA, 107 nt
Filed under: Gossypium arboreum
Lineage: Eukaryota; Viridiplantae; Streptophyta; Magnoliopsida; Malvales; Malvaceae
Description: Plant small nucleolar RNA R71
Rfam family: Plant small nucleolar RNA R71
About the family: R71 is a member of the C/D box family of snoRNAs containing the C (UGAUGA) and D (CUGA) box motifs. Multiple nearly identical copies of this snoRNA have been identified in Arabidopsis, and it is thought to function as a 2'-O-ribose methylation guide for 18S ribosomal RNA.
Source: Rfam by way of RNAcentral
AUUCCAUGGUGAGGGCAUUUCUAUAAUAGUUCUUUGUAUCGUUCUAAUGCCUCAUACAGGGACUCACCAUCCAUUUGUUGGAAGGCAAUGAUCUCGUUCCUCAACUU